Molecule: ribosomal RNA, 632 nt
Filed under: uncultured bacterium
Lineage: Bacteria
Description: bacterial SSU rRNA
Rfam family: Bacterial small subunit ribosomal RNA (bases 1-539)
Source: RNAcentral
CCUACGGGAGGCAGCAGUAAGGAAUAUUGGUCAAUGGACGCAAGUCUGAACCAGCCAUGCCGCGUGAAGGAUUAAGGUCCUCUGGAUUGUAAACUUCUUUUAUUUGGGACGAAAAAGGGCCUUUCUAGGUCAACUGACGGUACCAGAUGAAUAAGCACCGGCUAACUCCGUGCCAGCAGCCGCGGUAAUACGGAGGGUGCAAGCGUUAUCCGGAUUCACUGGGUUUAAAGGGUGCGUAGGCGGGUAGGUAAGUCAGUGGUGAAAUCCUGGAGCUCAACUCCAGAACUGCCAUUGAUACUAUUUAUCUUGAAUAUUGUGGAGGUAAGCGGAAUAUGUCAUGUAGCGGUGAAAUGCUUAGAUAUGACAUAGAACACCUAUUGCGAAGGCAGCUUACUACGCAUAUAUUGACGCUGAGGCACGAAAGCGUGGGGAUCAAACAGGAUUAGAUACCCUGGUAGUCCACGCCCUAAACUAUGAUUACUCGACAUUUGUGUAUACACAAUAAGUAGUCUGAGACGAAGACAUUAAGUAAUACCACCUACGGAAGGUACGUCCGCCGAGAGAGAACGUACGAAAGGAAAGUUAGUACGGACGUAGAGACGUUAGCCGACGGACGACGACGAGGGAGGAGG